AGUCGAGGAGCCUACCUCAGUGGUUCAAUAGUUAUAUCCCUUUGUCUGCUCCUUGGGUCCAGAUCCUAAUGGAGAUCGAAGGUCAGAAAUAUCUUUGACGGUCUAAACCAAUAAAGGCUCCUUCAAACAGAAGGAUCAAGAGAAAGUAUUGCCGCUUCCAUCAUAACCACGAUCACGAUAUCGAAGAAUUCCACCAACUCAAGGAUA
This 207-nucleotide long non-coding RNA is filed under the name Elaeis guineensis (African oil palm). Its description in RNAcentral is "long non-coding RNA (EGUI_LNC024785)". The record is from RNAcentral. Lineage: Eukaryota; Viridiplantae; Streptophyta; Magnoliopsida; Arecales; Arecaceae.